This 137-nucleotide long non-coding RNA is filed under the name Chinchilla lanigera (long-tailed chinchilla). RNAcentral describes it as "lncRNA (ENSCLAG00000026108.1)". The record is from RNAcentral. Lineage: Eukaryota; Metazoa; Chordata; Mammalia; Rodentia; Chinchillidae.
CUGGAAACCAAGUCACUAACGCAUGGGCCUUUGGGGGCUAUCCAAGUUAUAAACUACAGCAUGGAGACUGCAGUUCAGCAGGACUCAGGAGCCUGUAUGUCUGCCUGACCCAUGACCAGGACACCCCUGCUUACUGU